UACAGAGGUCUCGAGCGUUAGGCGGAAUCACUGGGCUUAAAGCGUGUGUAGGUGGAUCGUUAAGUACCUUGUGAAAUCCCACGGCUUAACCGUGGAACUGCUUGGUAUACUGGCGGUCUUGAGCCAGCUAGGGGCUACCGGAACAAAUGGUGGAGCGGUGAAAUGCGUAGAUAUCAUUUGGAACGCCAAUGGUGAAAACAGGUAGCUGGGGGUGUGCUGACGCUGAGACACGAAAGCCAGGGGAGCGAACGGG
This 253-nucleotide ribosomal RNA is filed under the name uncultured bacterium. RNAcentral's name for it is "partial 16S ribosomal RNA". It matches the Rfam family "Bacterial small subunit ribosomal RNA", at positions 524 to 776 of the family's 1533-position model. The record is from RNAcentral.